UUAUAUUACAUGUCCAAUCCAGCACUGUGAUCUCAUACUCGCAUUGAAAUUCAUGUUUUUCUUAUCAAAGGAUGGUUUUUAGGAAAAUUGUCUUCGAUUUUUUCAUCAUUUUAUCUUGGACAUGGAAGGGGUUACUCGAGCAUAGUCCGGCAUUAUGCAUGUGCUUAGUGUUCCAAUGAAAUUUUGAUAAAUGUCAUCAAUGUCUUGGUUAUUACCUGGAACAGUAAGUGUUGAUGUAGUUAUUGAUGAGAAUAUCAAGGUUGAGGUUUGUGCAUGAAGAAAUUGUCGUUCUUCACAUGCAAACCUUAAAAUUAGAGUAAUAAAGCCCUGCUGGAAUUUGUGUUUUUGGGCUCAUAACCUUAAAAAUUGAACUUUUAAAAACUUUCCAGAAUUGGAUUUUUUUUCUCCGUCAACGCUGACAAGCCAUUAUCAUUGUUUUAGCUCUGAAGCUUAUAUAUCAUUAUUAGUAUGCUUGUUUAUAUGAAUUGGAAAUAGACAUGAUUUAUCCUAUUGUCCUCUGCAGGUUAAAAUGAUAAUGGCAACAA
This 545-nucleotide unclassified non-coding RNA is filed under the name Hevea brasiliensis (rubber tree). Lineage: Eukaryota; Viridiplantae; Streptophyta; Magnoliopsida; Malpighiales; Euphorbiaceae. The record is from RNAcentral.